Molecule: non-coding RNA, 1162 nt
Organism: Heterocephalus glaber (naked mole-rat)
Lineage: Eukaryota; Metazoa; Chordata; Mammalia; Rodentia; Bathyergidae
Source: RefSeq, a predicted model, not a curated record
CAAAGGCCCCGGAUGCCCUUUCCAUAUCGGCUCUGUCAAGGCUGAAGAAUCUGAGAUGCUGAGGAUUUGACUUGUCUAAAAUGACAUAAGUAGUUAGUGGUGGGAGUCAAACUCAACUCUUCCUACUCCAAAUGCAGCACACUCUGCAUAACACCAAAGUUAACACCCAGUGCCUCAAUCAAGGGACUGGCUAACGAUCAAGAGGCAGAUUGCUGUGGUUAUGCCAGCAUUGCAUUCCCCGAGGGUGGAAGGCAAGAGGAAAACUCUGAGUGCCACCAAGAUGAGCUAUCUCCCAGUGAUGCAGUCUCCUGUGUGGUUUUGGACCAAAUAUCUGGCUGGAUAAGAAUACAAAUGCUGGGCCGGGGAUUUAGCUUAGUGAUUUCACCACCUGCUGCGCAAGCCCAAGGACCCGAGUUUGAUCCCCAAUACCAAAAACAAAGAAUACAAAUGCUUCUGAAAAUAAAUACUGGUUUAAGUUCCAUGAGAGCUAUGUAGUUUAACCUGAAGCUUUUUAAAUCUUUUGACUCAAUCCAUACUUAGCUAGAAGGGGGGCAAGAGUCUUACUAUAGGCCAAACCAACAAAAACUUCCUAUGCUUCUCUUGUUGGUUUGGUACCUUUGUUUUCAUACCUGACCUGUUUGGUAGUUUUCUUAACAAAGAAAUACAUAGUAGAGCUCUUUUAUCCAACAGAUUAAUGGAGGCUUCCCACUGUCUCAGUAAAACCUAGUGGGUGAUAUUAAUACAAACCUACUGCAGUACAGCCAGCAACCAACUCACUCCUCUAUUAGUUGAGCUUCCAAGAGCCAGCAGUGUUUGUUCCCAGUAGUGUUUGUUCCAGUGUUACAGGAUAAAUUUUAAUUAAGUUAUAUGAAAUGUUGUUUUUAUGAAAACUAAGUUUAAUGCUUUGGAAAGUUGUGAGAAAAUAGUCACUGAAAUUUAUUAUUGAAUGUGAUAUAAAAAAACUAUAAAAGUAGAAUUGUCUUGAAUAUCUAUAAUGAGUCUAGGUUCUUUGAAUAAUAUUGGUGGACGGUAGCCUUAAACUAGGACUGUUUUGAGCAAAUUAGGGUAUAUUGUCAUAUUAUGUAAAAGAGAUAUGAUUUAUCAAACAGGAAUACGGAGAAUGAGAAGUAUUCCAAGAAGAGGAAACUGCAUGAAUAAAGAC